RNAcentral lists this ribosomal RNA (460 nucleotides) under uncultured bacterium. Its description in RNAcentral is "partial 16S ribosomal RNA". It matches the Rfam family "Bacterial small subunit ribosomal RNA", at positions 338 to 795 of the family's 1533-position model. The record is from RNAcentral.
CCUACGGGAGGCAGCAGUGAGGAAUAUUGGUCAAUGGGCUUACGCCUGAACCAGCCAAGUCGCGUGAGGGAAGACUGCCCUAUGGGUUGUAAACCUCUUUUGUCAGGGAGCAACGCCGGCUACGUGUAGCCGGACUUAGAGUACCUGUAGAAAAAGCAUCGGCUAACUCCGUGCCAGCAGCCGCGGUAAUACGGAGGAUGCGAGCGUUCUCCGGAUUUAUUGGGUUAAAGGGGUGCGUAGGCGGAAUGCCAAGUCAGCGGUAAAGUCUCGGGGCUCAACCUCGCUCCGCCGUUGAAACUGGCGGUCGUGAGUGGGCGAGAAGUAGGCGGAAUGCGGGGUGUAGCGGUGAAAUGCAUAGAUAUCACGCAGAACUCCGAUUGCGAAGGCAGCAUACCGGCGCGCAACUGACGCUGAAGCACGAAAGCGUGGGUAUCGAACAGGAUUAGAUACCCGUGUAGUC